AGAAAUGAAACCAUCAGUUCCUGCAUAGGCAAAAAAAUUAAUUGUGCUCUCCUUUAAACACCAGCAUUAAUAUUCCAACAGGAAGUACAGUUACUGGUUCUGACUGGGACCCUGAUCUUACAUAGACUCAAGGACUAUAUAUUCACCAUGAAAUACAGUCACUGCUAUGAAGAACUUGCCUUCUACAGUAAACAGGACAGACAGACAAAAAAAUCAGAAGAAGAAAAGUUUGUCGACUCGUAGAAAUGGUAGACUUAUGAUCCCAGCCUGGUACCCACAGAUCCUGCUGCCAAGCCAGGGCUACUGGCUGUCACCAGCUCCUGUUCCCUACUUUUGUAUGUAUUCUCUUUUAAUGAAAAUCCUUUAUGAUGCAGUUUCUCAUUUUAUGUGCACCUCUAAAUCAAAGUCAGUGUUGGUGCAUUUUUGUAUAGAAGCUGUAAUACAGAAAUCUCAGGCUAGGUAAUGGCAAUAUUUCUGAAUCCAGUAAGAAAAUUUCUUCACCUCUUUCAGUCCCCAACAAAGAUUGGUCCCAGAGUGCACAGUACCUUAAUACCACAGUAUGGGAGAUGGACAAUUAAUAAACUUGAUGUCAGGAGUUAA
This is a non-coding RNA of Anas platyrhynchos (mallard), 600 nucleotides long. The record is from RefSeq and is a predicted model, not a curated record. Lineage: Eukaryota; Metazoa; Chordata; Aves; Anseriformes; Anatidae.